UCAAGUUUACAAAGGGCGCAGGGCGGAUGCCUUGGCACCAGGAGCCGAAGAAGGACGUGAUAAGCUGCGAAAAGCUGCGGGGAGGAGCAAAUAUCCAUUGAUCCGCAGGUAUCCGAAUGGGGAAACCCGGCAGAAAGAACUUCUGUCACCGUAUGAUGAAUCCAUAGUCAUACGGAGGGAACCCGGCGAACUGAAACAUCUAAGUAGCCGGAGGAAGAGGAAGAAACAUCGAAUCCCUAAGUAGUGGCGAGCGAAAGGGGACGAAGCCCAAACCAAGGAUUUAUCCUUGGGGUUGAGGACCACAUACGAAGAAGCAGUAGGUAGCAGAACGGUUUUGGGAAAGCCGGCCAAAGAGAGUGAAAGCCUCGUAUGCGAAACAGACUGUGAUUCAGUGGUAUCCGGAGUACUACGGGACACGAGAAACCCCGUAGGAAGCAGGGGGGACCACCCCCCAAGGCGAAAUACUACCUGGUGACCGAUAGAGUAUAGUACCGUGAGGGAAAGGUGAAAAGAACCCCGGGAGGGGAGUGAAAGAGAACCUGAAACCCUGUGUCUACAAGCUGCGGAAGAGCGACUAACGCUCGACCGUGUACUUUUUGUAGAACGGUCCGGCGAGUUGCCGUUGCUGGCAGGUUAAGUACUUAAGGUACGGAGCCGAAGGGAAACCGAGUCUUAAUAGGGCGGUAAGUCAGUAACGGCAGACCCGAAACCGGGUGACCUACCCAUGGCCAGGAUGAAGUCUGCGUAAAAGUGGAUGGAGGUCCGAACACACGUCUGUUGAAAAAGGCGGUGAUGAGCUGUGGGUAGCGGAGAAAUUCCAAUCGAACUCGGAGAUAGCUGGUUCUCCCCGAAAUAGCUUUAGGGCUAGCCUCGGUAUAGUCUAAUGGAGGUAGAGCACUGAAUCGCUGCGGGGGCGUCAAAGUCUACCAAUGCGUAUCAAACUCCGAAUGCCAUAUAGAUGUUUACCGGGAGUCAGACUGUAUGAGAUAAGUCGGACAGUCAAAAGGGAAACAGCCCAGACCAUCUGCUAAGGUCCCAAAGUGUAUGUUAAGUGGGAAAGGAUGUGGGGUUUCGAAGACAACUAGGAUGUUGGCUCAGAAGCAGCCAUUCAUUCAAAGAGUGCGUAAUAGCUCACUAGUCGAGAGGUCCUGCGCCGAAAAUGUCCGGGGCUGAAACAUAACACCGAAGCAAUGGAAUAUACCGUAAGGUAUGUUGGUAGGGGAGCAUUGAUAACACGAAGAAGCGGUACCGUAAGGAGCCGUGGAGAGUUAUCAAGAGAGAAUGCCGGAAUGAGUAGCGAGAUGAAGGUGAGAAUCCUUCAGGCCGUAUAUCCAAGGUUUCCAGGGUAAAGCUGAUCUUCCCUGGGGAAGUCGGGACCUAAGCUCAGGCUGAGAAGCGUAGGCGAUGGACAACUGGUUGAUAUUCCAGUACCUCUGGCUGUCAGAAAUGUGGGGACACGGAAAUUCAGGAAGUGCCUGUAAAGGAUUCAGGUGCAAGCAUGGUUUAUGCCGGGCAGGCAAAUCCGUCCGGGUAAGUGAACUGUGUGAUGCGGACCGAAAUAUAAGUAGGGAAGCUCCUGGGAGAGCCGUCGAGAAAAGCCGCUAUUGUGUAGUCAGAGCCCGUACCGUAAACCGACACAGGUGGAUGGGGAGAGUAUCCCAAGGCCGGCGGGAGAAGCAUUGUUAAGGAACUCGGCAAAAUGGCCCCGUAAGUUCGCGAUAAGGGGUGCCUGUAGAGAUACAGGCCGCAGAGAAUAGGCUCAAGCAACUGUUUAGCAAAAACACAGGUCUAUGCGAAACCGUAAGGUGAUGUAUAUGGGCUGACGCCUGCCCGGUGCUGGAAGGUUACGGGGAGUGCUUAGGAGCAAUCCGAAGGUACGAACUUAAGCCCCAGUAAACGGCGGCCGUAACUAUAACGGUCCUAAGGUAGCGAAAUUCCUUGUCGGGUAAGUUCCGACCCGCACGAAAGGCGUAAUGA
This 1977-nucleotide ribosomal RNA is filed under the name human oral metagenome. RNAcentral's name for it is "bacterial LSU rRNA". It matches the Rfam family "Bacterial large subunit ribosomal RNA", at positions 1 to 2007 of the family's 2925-position model. The record is from RNAcentral.